CCUACGGGUGGCAGCAGUGGGGAAUAUUGGACAAUGGGGGGAACCCUGAUCCAGCCAUGCCGCGUGUGUGAAGAAGGCCCUCGGGUUGUAAAGCACUUUCAGUGAGGAAGAACGCCUGGUGGUUAAUACCCAUCAGGAAAGACAUCACUCACAGAAGAAGCACCGGCUAACUCCGUGCCAGCAGCUGCGGUAAUACGGAGGGUGCGAGCGUUAAUCGGAAUUACUGGGCGUAAAGCGCGCGUAGGUGGCUUGAUAAGCCGGUUGUGAAAGCCCCGGGCUCAACCUGGGAACGGCAUCCGGAACUGUCGAGCUAGAGUGCAGGAGAGGAAGGUAGAAUUCCCGGUGUAGCGGUGAAAUGCGUAGAGAUCGGGAGGAAUACCAGUGGCGAAGGCGGCCUUCUGGACUGACACUGACACUGAGGUGCGAAAGCGUGGGUAGCAAACAGGAUUAGAUACCCUUGUAGUC
This 465-nucleotide ribosomal RNA is filed under the name Vreelandella stevensii. RNAcentral's name for it is "partial 16S ribosomal RNA". It matches the Rfam family "Bacterial small subunit ribosomal RNA", at positions 338 to 795 of the family's 1533-position model. The record is from RNAcentral. Lineage: Bacteria; Pseudomonadati; Pseudomonadota; Gammaproteobacteria; Oceanospirillales; Halomonadaceae.